RNAcentral lists this long non-coding RNA (624 nucleotides) under Lathyrus oleraceus (garden pea). RNAcentral's name for it is "Pisum sativum (pea) long non-coding RNA (PSAT_LNC003916)". The record is from RNAcentral. Lineage: Eukaryota; Viridiplantae; Streptophyta; Magnoliopsida; Fabales; Fabaceae.
UCUCCCUUCCUAUAUUAGGAAUCAAAUGUAAUGUAACACCAAUUACACAUAUUAAUUAACUUAUCAAUUCAACACAGAAACACAAUAAAAAUCCAACAAAGCAAAAAUUCAAACAAAUCCAAAUUCAAAUCCAAAAUCCUUAUGAAUCAACAACUUUUCGAACUCAAUGCAGAUGAAAAUGAAGCUAACCUCGUUGAGCUGAACUCGCCAGAGAAGAAGCAAAGCAGAGUAAGAACAUCCGUAGCAGAAGAAAUCGAAGCAUUGUGGUGGUGGUGGUUUCCUCUUCUUCAGUCUCACUCUCUCUCUCACAUCAUCCCUGGUUUUCUAGAGAGAGAAAGAGGAAGAGAGAGAAAAUUCUUGAACGUGUCUGAAUGAAGUUAGUUUAGCAGUAAGUAAGUAAAGUUCACAGUUGAAAUAUUUAUUACAUAAUCAAUUAUAGUAUUAAUUUGUUAACUAACCAUUUCUAUAAUCUUUUUUUUUUCUUUUCUGAGUUUAGUUGACUCGUGAAUGAAGGGAGAAAUAGCUGUCAUCUUCUGCUGACCUUUAUUACUACUGCUGUAGCUGAGCAUUUAUUUAUUUAUCUUACAUAUAUUUAAAUGUAUUUUUAACUGGAUUUUCUUUUUU